Molecule: transfer RNA, 79 nt
Filed under: Lachnospiraceae bacterium
Lineage: Bacteria; Bacillati; Bacillota; Clostridia; Lachnospirales; Lachnospiraceae
Description: tRNA-Leu
Rfam family: tRNA
About the family: Transfer RNA (tRNA) molecules are approximately 80 nucleotides in length. Their secondary structure includes four short double-helical elements and three loops (D, anti-codon, and T loops).
Source: RNAcentral
CGGAUAUGGCGGAAUUGGCAGACGCGCCAGAUUUAGGUUCUGGUGGGAGACCGUGCAGGUUCAAGUCCUGUUUUCCGAA